GAAUAUCACAAAUCAAACGGCACCUUGGAGAGCAGAAUUCUGGACGCAAGUUUUGGAGCAAUUCAAACUUUAAUUAGAGAAAUUCUCGCCAGUCCUUUGGGAGACGAUUUUGCUUACUGCUGUCUGCGCAGUGUGGGCAUACCGGCUGACUGCCGGAUAUAUUUGGUGUAAAACGACGCACCA
Molecule: long non-coding RNA, 183 nt
Organism: Salvia miltiorrhiza (redroot sage)
Lineage: Eukaryota; Viridiplantae; Streptophyta; Magnoliopsida; Lamiales; Lamiaceae
Exons: 2
Source: RefSeq, a predicted model, not a curated record